Molecule: ribosomal RNA, 253 nt
Filed under: uncultured bacterium
Lineage: Bacteria
Description: partial 16S ribosomal RNA
Rfam family: Bacterial small subunit ribosomal RNA
Source: RNAcentral
GACAGAGGAUGCAAGCGUUAUCCGGAAUGAUUGGGCGUAAAGCGUCUGUAGGUGGCUUUUCAAGUCCGCCGUCAAAUCCCAGGGCUCAACCCUGGACAGGCGGUGGAAACUACCAAGCUGGAGUACGGUAGGGGCAGAGGGAAUUUCCGGUGGAGCGGUGAAAUGCAUUGAGAUCGGAAAGAACACCGGUGGCGAAAGCGCUCUGCUGGACCUUAACUGACACUGAGGGACGAAAGCUAGGGGAGCGAAUGGG